RNAcentral lists this long non-coding RNA (1193 nucleotides) under Physcomitrium patens. RNAcentral's name for it is "long non-coding RNA (PPAT_LNC008484)". The record is from RNAcentral. Lineage: Eukaryota; Viridiplantae; Streptophyta; Bryopsida; Funariales; Funariaceae.
GCAGCCUGGUGGAACGCAAUUCAAUUUAUCAUCAGGAAACUCAUGAAGAGUCGAGAGCGGCUUCGCCCAAAGGAUGCAUAUCCCUUCAAUUGUAACGCAGAUCACUUAAGCCAAGGUCAGGCUACCACAUAGAAAUAGAUAACCCAAGGUAAUCCUAAACCCGUAAAAGUUCCAUUUUCUCUUCUUGAAAAGAGUCAUUAACUAUAGAAAUCAAUACUAUUUACGUUUAUUAGUAGAUUAGGCAGCGUCAAUCCAUAAGGUUACAUAAGUUAUUCUAUUAAACAGGUGAAAUCAGUGCUAAUUAGGGCUGACGUUAGGUUUCAUAAGCUUUUAUAAAAGAUCCAGUGACGGGAAAAAAACACCUUUAACUCCUCCAAGGUGAACCCCCUUCCAGAACGGAUCUUAGAAUUGUACUUCAAGGUCUGAGAAUGCACAACUGGUCGGAGUGGUCCAGCAGUAGGGCGUGGGAACACAGCCACGGCCUUCUUUUGACGCGCUGCAAAACCGAUCCAUCGCUAGAAACUCAAUGUAGGAUGCACAUCCGACGCAAUAGCGCCAAACUCCUAACGCCGCUUCAAUGCUUUGCAGAGUCAAGCACUUCCAAAAGCUGAAAAAAUGACGACCUCUUCUUCUAACUUUACUAAACCCACCAAAGGUCCUAGGGUUACCGCUGUCACACAUAUCAUAGAGUCUCAAAUAACGGACAGUUUGUAACCAAAUUCACCAAUACAGCGGUGGGAUGCUAACCCGUUCUUCUUCUUUUCUUGCGGGCGGGCUGGUUAAACCAGGUCCUCACAUAGUUUUGCCAGUCCUUCUUGAAGUGGCCAUUGGGGAUAACAUUGUUAUGCUUCACCAUGUUUCAACUCUUCACAUACACAUCACAAAAAUUGCGACAUCAACAAUCCGACCCUAAUUAUUGCUUCACGAAUUACAACAACAACACAAAAAUACGCCACUCCAUCACAAUCAUACACUGAAACAGAUGCAGCAGUUGGAUCCUCCCAACACCCUUAGGGAUUCUGAGCUCAAUAGGGUGACACAACCGAGUGCAGUUUCCAUGACAACACUAAUCCUAUAAUCAAGUCAAGCAUGUAGAGGGGAAAAAAGAAAAUUUUGAAAAAGCCCGUGGACAACAUUAAUCAGCACUAAAAGCAAUCUUCCUGAGGGAGCUUCACAGCAGAAGAGGUACCUUC